ACUCUCUACAGAUUAUGGAAAAUAUUUGUCUGAGCUCUUAUUUCAACUGCUCCAUUCUCAGCUAGUGAGGAGAGUAAGAUGUAGUGAGGCAUGUGUUCAGAACUUUCUCCCAGAGGUAAAUUACUGAUGCAUGACUUUUAAGGUGCUAGGAGAGGGCUGAUAGUCCACUACGUUAUCAAGUUCAAAGCCUAAGAAAUAUUGAACAUUUCCACACAUGAAUGUGGGUACUAUGUUUAAUUUGAGAAUGGCCAACUGUCCUCGAAGUCUCAAUCUCUUUGGAGCCUACCAGCUCCGAGAGAAGUUUGAGGAUGCUGCAAAACCCUCCCCUGCAAAUCCAUCUACUCCUCCCACUUCUAUCCUAAUGGGUAUAGUUCUUGGCUGUGCUGAGGAUCUGUAAGGCACCAGAUGUGAAAGUAAGGAAGAAAGAUGGAUGUGGAAGAAAGUCACUGCCCAGAGAAUAAGGAGACCUGGAUUCUAAUCUCAGCUCUGCCAUUAACUAGCUGUGAGACUCAAGAAUAACUAAUCAUUUUGAUAACUCGUUUUUUUACUUUUUAAAAUGAGGAGCCAAGUUUAGACAAUGAGCUCGGCUCUUCACCAGUGAUAAAGUGUCUGGGACAUGCUUCCAUUCAAGCAAUGCUCUUCCUUCUUGUCUAUACUUUAUCCAAGAAAGAAUAAAUCAUUUCCAAAUAUUUUCAAAGAUGAAACUAUGGCUCAAAAGGGAAUAAGAGAUCAAGGCAAGCAUGGACAUCUUGUACGUGGAAGUGCAGACCAGAACUUGUAUCACAGCCAGUCAUAUCUGGUGCUUUCCAUGCUACUUUUACAUACAUGUAUCCUUAAAUUUGAUCCUCUUCUAGUUUAGUCUAAACUCUUUACUUUGUAACUUCCAAACCUAAAAGGUGCAGCAGACAUUGACAAUCUUAA
Molecule: long non-coding RNA, 921 nt
Organism: Homo sapiens (human)
Lineage: Eukaryota; Metazoa; Chordata; Mammalia; Primates; Hominidae
Source: Ensembl